This 646-nucleotide ribosomal RNA is filed under the name uncultured Actinomycetes bacterium. RNAcentral describes it as "bacterial SSU rRNA". It matches the Rfam family "Bacterial small subunit ribosomal RNA", at positions 118 to 752 of the family's 1533-position model. The record is from RNAcentral. Lineage: Bacteria; Bacillati; Actinomycetota; Actinomycetes.
UGGGUAAUCCACCCUCGGCACCGGGAUAGCCCGGGGAAACCCGGAUUAAUACCGGAUGGCCCUUCCGGCCCUCGGGCCGGUCGGAAAAGGUAGCUUCGGCCUCCGGCCGAGGACGAGCCCGCGGCGGAUUAGCUUGUUGGUGGGGUAACGGCCUACCAAGGCGACGAUCCGUAGCUGGUCUGAGAGGACGAUCAGCCACACUGGGACUGAGACACGGCCCAGACUCCUACGGGAGGCAGCAGUGGGGAAUCUUGCGCAAUGGGCGAAAGCCUGACGCAGCGACGCCGCGUGAGGGAAGAAGGCCUUCGGGUUGUAAACCUCUUUUAAGAGAGAAGAAGCCACUCGGGUUAAUAGCCCAGAGGGUGACGGUAUCUCUUGAAUAAGCCCCGGCUAACUACGUGCCAGCAGCCGCGGUAAUACGUAGGGGGCAAGCGUUGUCCGGAUUUACUGGGCGUAAAGAGCGUGUAGGCGGCCAUGCAGGUCCGUUGUGAAAACUGGAGGCUCAACCUCCAGACGUCGACGGAAACCGUGCGGCUAGAGUCCGGAAGAGGAGAGUGGAAUUCCUGGUGUAGCGGUGAAAUGCGCAGAUAUCAGGAAGAACACCAAUGGCGAAGGCAGCUCUCUGGGACGGUACUGACGCUGAGAC